GUGAGAUGGUUCAGUGGUUAAGAGCAUGGGCUCUUUUCCCAGAAGACCUGGGUUCAAUUCCCAGUACCCACA
This 72-nucleotide transfer RNA is filed under the name Rattus norvegicus (Norway rat). It matches the Rfam family "tRNA". From Rfam's summary of the family: Transfer RNA (tRNA) molecules are approximately 80 nucleotides in length. Their secondary structure includes four short double-helical elements and three loops (D, anti-codon, and T loops). Lineage: Eukaryota; Metazoa; Chordata; Mammalia; Rodentia; Muridae. The record is from Rfam by way of RNAcentral.